RNAcentral lists this ribosomal RNA (253 nucleotides) under uncultured bacterium. RNAcentral's name for it is "partial 16S ribosomal RNA". It matches the Rfam family "Bacterial small subunit ribosomal RNA", at positions 524 to 776 of the family's 1533-position model. The record is from RNAcentral.
UACAGAGGGUGCGAGCGUUAAUCGGAAUUACUGGGCGUAAAGCGCGCGUAGGCGGCUUUGCAAGUCAGGUGUGAAAUCCCCAGGCUUAACCUGGGAACUGCAUUCGAGACUGCAUUGCUAGAGUAUGGGAGAGGGAAGUGGAAUUUCCGGUGUAGCGGUGAAAUGCGUAGAUAUCGGAAGGAACAUCAGUGGCGAAAGCGACUUCCUGGACCAAUACUGACGCUCAUGUGCGAAAGCGUGGGGAGCAAACAGG